Molecule: ribosomal RNA, 301 nt
Filed under: uncultured bacterium
Lineage: Bacteria
Description: partial 16S ribosomal RNA
Rfam family: Bacterial small subunit ribosomal RNA
Source: RNAcentral
CAGUAGCCGCGGUAAUACAGAGGGUGCAAGCGUUAAUCGGAAUUACUGGGCGUAAAGCGCGCGUAGGUGGUUUGUUAAGUUGGAUGUGAAAUCCCCGGGCUCAACCUGGGAACUGCAUCCAAAACUGGCAAGCUAGAGUAUGGUAGAGGGUGGUGGAAUUUCCUGUGUAGCGGUGAAAUGCGUAGAUAUAGGAAGGAACACCAGUGGCGAAGGCGACCACCUGGACUGAUACUGACACUGAGGUGCGAAAGCGUGGGGAGCAAACAGGAUUAGAUACCCGGGUAGUCCCUGUCUCUUAUAA